UAGCCGUAAACGAUACUCGCUAGGUGUCGGCCACGGUGCGACCGUUGUCGGUGCCGUAGGGAAGCCGUGAAGCGAGCCACCUGGGAAGUACGGCCGCAAGGCUGAAACUUAAAGGAAUUGGCGGGGGAGCACAACAACGGGUGGAGCUUGCGGUUUAAUUUGAUUCAACGCCGGAAAUCUUACCGGGACCGACAGCAACAUGAAGGCCAAGCUGAAGACUUUGCCGGAUUAGCUGAGAGGAGGUGCAUGGCGUAGUCGUGU
Molecule: ribosomal RNA, 261 nt
Filed under: uncultured archaeon
Lineage: Archaea
Description: partial 16S ribosomal RNA
Rfam family: Archaeal small subunit ribosomal RNA
Source: RNAcentral